This 962-nucleotide long non-coding RNA is filed under the name Mus musculus (house mouse). RNAcentral describes it as "long non-coding RNA chr2:93148031-93148993". The record is from RNAcentral. Lineage: Eukaryota; Metazoa; Chordata; Mammalia; Rodentia; Muridae.
CACUCCCCCUUUCCCUGCAUGCACGCGUGCGCACAUGAGCACAUGCACACGCACACAUCUUUGACAUGCAAAGUGACAUUGACGUCUAAUGCUGAUGUUUGUUAAGUCUUCAAUAAGCAGACUGCUAUCCAUAUAACCACAUAGAUUAGGCACAGAGUAAGGGAUUAGUGGGGCAGGUUAGAUCAUCCUAGGGAAAGGAAACAGAAUAGUGAGGAUGGAGGAUGGAAAUGGGGGAGGCCUGGCAUGGGAAGCUCAAGCAGGGAGAAGGGGAGACGAAGGUAAGAGACAGCUAACACUAAGGGCCGCAUGAGGGGUCCUAUGGAAAGCUGACAGAGUAGAAGCAUCUUAAAAGAUACACAUCUGAAAGUGAUCUAAAUGGAAACACCAAAUCAUGGGGAAACAGAGCCCUAACUGGACUUCUCUCAUUACCAAGUCAAGGCUCCAGCUCUCCUGGGCCUCUCUAGUUACCAGUCAAGGCUCCAGUUCUGAGAAUGCAAUUGUUGGCUAAACCGGUUCCAUGGGAACCCCAAAACAACCCAGACGGUUGCCAAGGCUACUGGUUGCUCACCACAAAUUCAUGGUAAGGCCCCAUUGCUAGAGAAAACACCUACAUAACUCAUUGAAUAUGGAGAACUUGAGCUGGUUUCUACUUAGAGCCUUUACCCCUACUGACUAGUGUUCGUAGUACGGAGGGAUACUCUGUAGGCUACCAAAGGAAAAAGGUAAACAUCAACCCAGCUAAAAACUCUUCGAUCUACAAUGGUGACCUGCCUGCAAGACAUGCUAGUGCCAUAGGGUCACAAAGCUGAUGGGACUAAUCAACCAAUAUUGGAUUGAGAUACAGUGCAUGAGAUACAGCCCAUCCCUAGCACUGCUCAGGUGGCCAAGAACUUAAGACUAGAUGGACCAAGGACUAGGAGAAAACUAAACACUACCUUUCUGCUAAAGGAAGAUAGAAAUAA